GUUCCCUCCUGUUGCAGAGAGCGUGCGGGAGGCCGUGGGUCGGAGGGUGAAGCUGACCCUGAGGCGCAGAGUCCAGCUGGAGGUCAAAGGUGACAAGGUGGAGAACAGAGUGCUGGCGCUGGCGUCCCAUCGAGCCUUUCUGCUGACGGCUCGGGUCCCGUCCAAGGUUGAACAUUCCUUCAGUUACCUGGACAUUCAGGGGAUCAGCAGCAACAAGCCCACUCAGGUG
Molecule: non-coding RNA, 229 nt
Organism: Paralichthys olivaceus (Japanese flounder)
Lineage: Eukaryota; Metazoa; Chordata; Actinopteri; Pleuronectiformes; Paralichthyidae
Source: RefSeq, a predicted model, not a curated record